AUGGCCUUCCCCAUCCUCCUCCUCCUCGCUGCCUCCAUCCCAGGGCUGCAGGCGGAGGUGAGGCUGGAGGAGACCGGAGGCGGCCUCCAAAGCCCUGGGGCCUCCAUGAGGCUCCUGUGCAAGGCCUCGGGCCUCACUUUGGCCUCCUAUGCUAUGGGAUGGGUGCGCCAAGCACCGGGACAGGGCCUCCAAUGGGUCGCCACCAUUGACAGCUAUGGGGCCGGCACCUGGUUCGCCCCAUGGAUGUGGGGCAGAGCCACCAUCAGCAGGGACAACUCCCAGGCCACGGUCACGCUGCAGAUGAGCGGCCUCGAGGCCAAGGAUACGGCCACUUACUACUGUCCCCCCCCCCCCGCCGCCAUCACCGUGCGGGUCACCCCCCCCCCCUUCGUAGCCAUCUUCCAGGACAAGGUAGCCAAGCUGACCUGCCGGGUCCUCAAUGUCCCCUCCAUGGAGGGCCUGGACGUGGCCUGGUGGAAGGAGGACGGCACUGAAGUAGACACCUCAAGGCUGCCCCAUAGCCUGGAGCCCAAUGGGCUCUUCAGUGCUGGGGCCGUGGCCACCACUGGGUUAGAGUGGGAGAGGGGGGACACGUUCACGUGUAGGGUCACACAUCCUGAGCUGCUGUUCCCGGUGCAGGCCGAGCUCAGGAAGGAGGAGGUGCCCGACCCCAAAGCUCCCUCCGUCUUCGUCCUGCCCCCCCCUCCGGAGCAGCUUUCCCUACGGGAACGGGCGACCAUCACCUGCCUGGUUAUGGGGUUUAACCCCCCCGACCUCUUCAUCCUAUGGCUCCGCAAUGGGAACCCCAUUCCCGAGGCUCAAUACGUCACCGUGACCCCAUUACCCCAACCCCAUAACCCCCAAUCCCAUAACCCCAUAUCCUAUAUGACCUAUAGCUCCCUAACGGUGGCUAUAGGGGAUUGGGCCAAUGGGGACAUGUUCACGUGUGUUGUGGGGCACGAGCGGAUCCCAAUGCAAGUGAUGCAGAAGUCAGUGGAUAUAGGGUCGGAGGUCCCCAAUGGGGAGGAGGAGGAGGAGGAAGAGGAAGACAUAGAGAACCUAUGGGCCACGGCCUCGACCUUCAUCGUCCUCUUCAUCCUCAGCCUCUUCUAUGGAGCAACCGUCACCUUGAUCAAGGUCAAAUAACCCCAUUCCCGAUGGGAUCCCACCCCCUCCAGUGCUGGAUAUCCCUGGAAUUCCAUAGGAUUAUGGCCCUAUUCCUACCUGCUGUAAAUAUCUUCAUCCUAAUAAAG
Non-coding RNA from Melopsittacus undulatus (budgerigar), 1253 nucleotides. NCBI's taxonomy places the organism in Eukaryota, Metazoa, Chordata, Aves, Psittaciformes, Psittaculidae. The record is from the annotation of a RefSeq genome assembly.